RNAcentral lists this ribosomal RNA (253 nucleotides) under uncultured bacterium. Its description in RNAcentral is "partial 16S ribosomal RNA". It matches the Rfam family "Bacterial small subunit ribosomal RNA", at positions 524 to 776 of the family's 1533-position model. The record is from RNAcentral.
GACAGAGGGUGCAACCGUUGCUCGGAAUCACUGGGCGUAAAGGGCGUGUAGGCGGGAAGGAAAGUCAGAUGUGAAAUCCCUGGGCUCAACCCAGGAACUGCAUUUGAAACUCCCUUUCUUGAGUGUCGGAGAGGAAAGCGGAAUUCCUGGUGUAGAGGUGAAAUUCGUAGAUAUCAGGAGGAACACCGGUGGCGAAGGCGGCUUUCUGGACGACAACUGACGCUGAGACGCGAAAGCGUGGGGAGCAAACAGG